CCUACGGGUGGCAGCAGUGAGGAAUAUUGGUCAAUGGGCUUACGCCUGAACCAGCCAAGUCGCGUGAGGGAAGACUGCCCUAUGGGUUGUAAACCUCUUUUGUCAGGGAGCAACGCCGGCUACGUGUAGCCGGACUGAGAGUACCUGAAGAAAAAGCAUCGGCUAACUCCGUGCCAGCAGCCGCGGUAAUACGGGGGAUGCGAGCGUUAUCCGGAUUUGUUGGGUUAAAAGGGUGCGUAGGCGGAAGGCCACGUCAGCGGUAAAACCGCGGGGUGAAGGCCUGCUCUGCCGUUGAAACUGGCGUUCUUGAGUGGGCGAGAAGUAUGCGGAAUGCGUGGUGUAGCGGUGAAAUGCAUAGAUAUCACGCAGAACUCCGAUUGCGAAGGCAGCAUACCGGCGCCCGACUGACGCUGAGGCACGAAAGCGUGGGUAUCGAACAGGAUUAGAUACCCGAGUAGUC
RNAcentral lists this ribosomal RNA (460 nucleotides) under uncultured bacterium. Its description in RNAcentral is "partial 16S ribosomal RNA". It matches the Rfam family "Bacterial small subunit ribosomal RNA", at positions 338 to 795 of the family's 1533-position model. The record is from RNAcentral.